GAUGAACGCUGGCGGCGUGCCUAAUACAUGCAAGUCGAGCGAACCGACGAGGAGCUUGCUCCUCUGACGUUAGCGGCGGACGGGUGAGUAACACGUGGAUAACCUACCUAUAAGACUGGGAUAACUUCGGGAAACCGGAUCUAAUACCGGAUAAUAUAUUGAACCGCAUGGUUCAAUAGCGAAAGACGGUUUUGCUGUCACUUAUAGAUGGAUCCGCGCCGCAUUAGCUAGUUGGUAAGGUAACGGCUUACCAAGGCGACGAUGCGUAGCCGACCUGAGAGGGGGAUCGGCCACACUGGAACUGAGACACGGUCCAGACUCCUACGGGAGGCAACAGUAGGGAAUCUUCCGCAAUGGGCGAAAGCCUGACGGAGCAACGCCGCGUGAGUGGUGAAGGUCUUCGGAUCGUAAAACUCUGUUAUUAGGGAAGAACAAAUGUGUAAGUAACUAUGCACGUCUUGACGGUACCUAAUCAGAAAGCCACGGCUAACUACGUG
RNAcentral lists this ribosomal RNA (497 nucleotides) under uncultured bacterium. RNAcentral describes it as "partial 16S ribosomal RNA". It matches the Rfam family "Bacterial small subunit ribosomal RNA", at positions 28 to 507 of the family's 1533-position model. The record is from RNAcentral.